GUUCAUUUUUUCUUUGUUUGUUUGUUUUUUAUCCAUUUAGAUUCCUUUUGUCAGCACUAUGGUGGGAUUUUCCAUAGCAAGGGUGGGUUUUAAUCUCAAAUUGGGCAGGCCCACAUGGCAAAGAGUUGCAGGGAGAUGAAUUUUUCUCCUGAAUCUCAGGUUAGAUAAAUAAAAGAAUCAGUGCACUCAAAAAAAUAUCCUUUGAAAUAGGCAAUGCAUUGCUCUCUCAUAGAGUGCGCCAUACUUCCUGUUUGGAAAAGUCUCUUCCUUCUCCUCUUCCCCCCCACCCCUGGUCCCCUGCCAUGUGGAGGAUAAUUAUAGCCUAAGGAAAGAACACCCCAGUUUUUACCAGCUGGCUUGUGAUUUCAGAGACACAGCAGCUUCCAGCAGCCUGGAUCCUGGGGCUGGACUGGGGCGAUAUGGCUUGGAGGCUGGAGAUCAUCUGGGGCCGGGACAGGUGGUUGAACAUUCCAUGGAGCAAGCAUUAGGCUGGAAGAUAGAGGACCUGGAUUGGAUGGAGAAAUUGAAGAUUAGAGAAGGAAGUGAUUUGUCCAGAAUAAAUCUAGGGUUGGUGCUACAAUUAGAUGUCACAUCUCUUGAUUUUAAUUUAAGUACAUUUUCCAUCAUAUCCUACUCUAACUCUUUCAGACUACAUUUCCCAGAGGGCAGCAUUUUCACCAUUUUUCUUACGGUCUUUCUUUGAAGUAGAAUAUCUACCACCACUAUGUUUUAUGGAGAGAUUAAUGGAUUCAAGACAAAAGUAUAAGCUUUAAGCAGAUCCCUGUUCCUUACUUCUCCUAGCAGGAGAACUAGACACAUACCCCCUAAUUAGGGCUGAGGGAAGAAGAGAAAAUGGAUUGAACUGAUGACUCUCCUCCCUUCCCUAGCCAUAUCUAUAUACUAGACCUAAUUUAGGAAGGAACAAAAAAAGAUGGCAUAGUCCCUUCACCUCUAGUUUCACCUCUUUUCAUUCCAUCACACUCAUACCACCUCCUAAUUCACCUUCUUAGAACAUAUGUUACUCUUCUACCAAGGGCCAGAAGUAUAUCUGCCCACUACAUUAAUUCUAAACUAUAUUUAACCUUCAAAAUCUUCCAUAAUCUGGCCCCACCCACCAGUUGGUCUCCCACAACUCUCCAGUGCCUUCCCAAGAAAACUGUAAUCCCAAAUCCAUUCCAAUCUCAACCACACUGAUGAAUAAGUGGCUUGAGUAAUCAAUCUGCAGUCUUAUAGAUGGUUGCUUUGUUUUCAGAGUUGUUUCUCCAAGGAGGAGACUGAAGGGGAUGGAUGGAUGAAUCAAUGAAUGAAAAAACACUUAUUACUAUAUGUAAAACACUGUCGAGAGCUGAGGACAUGAAAAUCAAGGCAGAACUCAUUCUUUUUUUUUUUUUAAACUCU
Molecule: long non-coding RNA, 1398 nt
Filed under: Monodelphis domestica (gray short-tailed opossum)
Lineage: Eukaryota; Metazoa; Chordata; Mammalia; Didelphimorphia; Didelphidae
Description: lncRNA (ENSMODG00000039794.1)
Source: RNAcentral